Molecule: ribosomal RNA, 497 nt
Filed under: uncultured bacterium
Lineage: Bacteria
Description: partial 16S ribosomal RNA
Rfam family: Bacterial small subunit ribosomal RNA
Source: RNAcentral
GACGAACGCUGGCGGCGUGCCUAAUACAUGCAAGUAGAACGCUGAAGAGAGGAGCUUGCUCUUCUUGGAUGAGUUGCGAACGGGUGAGUAACGCGUAGGUAACCUGCCUUGUAGCGGGGGAUAAAUAUUGGAAACGAUAGCUAAUACCGCAUAACAAUGGAUGACACAUGUCAUUUAUUUGAAAGGGGCAAUUGCUCCACUACAAGAUGGACCUGCGUUGUAUUAGCUAGUAGGUGAGGUAAUGGCUCACCUAGGCGACGAUACAUAGCCGACCUGAGAGGGUGAUCGGCCACACUGGGACUGAGACACGGCCCAGACUCCUACGGGAGGCAGCAGUAGGGAAUCUUCGGCAAUGGGGGCAACCCUGACCGAGCAACGCCGCGUGAGUGAAGAAGGUUUUCGGAUCGUAAAGCUCUGUUGUAAGUCAAGAACGGGUGUGAGAGUGGAAAGUUCACACUGUGACGGUAGCUUACCAGAAAGGGACGGCUAACUACGUG